GUGGUCGCUUUGACAACACAUACUAAAAUUGGAACAGUACAAGAAGAUUAGCAUGGCCCUUGCACAAGAAUGACACACAAAUUCACAAAGCAUUACAUAUUUUA
Small nuclear RNA from Jaculus jaculus (lesser Egyptian jerboa), 104 nucleotides. The record is from RefSeq and is a predicted model, not a curated record. NCBI's taxonomy places the organism in Eukaryota, Metazoa, Chordata, Mammalia, Rodentia, Dipodidae.